UACGUAGGGACCGAGCGUUGUCCGGAUUCAUUGGGCGUAAAGAGCUCGUAGGCGGCUGUUCAAGUCGAACGUGAAAACUCGGAGCUCAAAUCCGAGCCUGCGUUCGAUACUGGACGGCUAGAGUCUGGUAGGGGGAUCUGGAAUUCCUGGUGUAGCGGUGAAAUGCGCAGAUAUCAGGAGGAACACCGGUGGCGAAGGCGGACCUCUGGGCCUUACCUGACGCUCAGGCGCGAAAGCUAGGGGAGCGAACUGG
RNAcentral lists this ribosomal RNA (253 nucleotides) under uncultured bacterium. Its description in RNAcentral is "partial 16S ribosomal RNA". It matches the Rfam family "Bacterial small subunit ribosomal RNA", at positions 524 to 776 of the family's 1533-position model. The record is from RNAcentral.